This 253-nucleotide ribosomal RNA is filed under the name uncultured bacterium. Its description in RNAcentral is "partial 16S ribosomal RNA". It matches the Rfam family "Bacterial small subunit ribosomal RNA", at positions 57 to 305 of the family's 1533-position model. The record is from RNAcentral.
GCAAGUCGAACGGUAACAGGAAAUAGCUUGCUAUUUUGCUGACGAGUGGCGCACGGGUGCGUAACGCGUAUACAAUCUACCUUUUGCUGAGGGAUAGCCCAGAGAAAUUUGGAUUAAUACCUCAUGGUAUUAUUGAUAGGCAUCUAUUAAUAAUUAAAGGUUACGGCAAAAGAUGAGUAUGCGUCCCAUUAGCUAGUUGGCGAGGUAACGGCGCACCAAGGCAGCGAUGGGGAGGGGGCCUGAGAGGGAGAGC